This is a long non-coding RNA of Catharus ustulatus (Swainson's thrush), 3162 nucleotides long. RefSeq lists it as uncharacterized. The record is from RefSeq and is a predicted model, not a curated record. Lineage: Eukaryota; Metazoa; Chordata; Aves; Passeriformes; Turdidae. The transcript has 2 exons.
UGGAGUGCUUGGCCUUGGGUGUGUCAGCAUGAAAAAUCCCAUUUUUUGGGAAUUCUUUGAGCUGUGCUUUCCCUCCCAAUCUGUUUUUGGGAAGCUCCACAUGAUCAGUUCUUUAGAAAACAUAAUUUAUUUUAUAUUCUUUUUUUUUUUUUUUUUUUUUUGGGGUGGGGGUUUGAGAAAUUAGCUUGAGGUUGUGUUUAUAAAAGGUGUCUUGGUGGUAGAGAAAUUUCUUGUAGAAAAAUGGCAUUAAACUAAUUUUAUUUAAUAUGACCUAAAUUAAAUACUUUGGGGUUGGGUUUAUUUUUUUUUUUUUAAGUUUUUUUAAAUUCAAUUCACACAGCUUUUCCUACAGAUCCCUAUUUUCUUUGGGAAUAGGACAUCAAACUGAUGCAGAGCUGAUGUUUUGCUAAAUCCUAUUUGCUUUCCACAUCAUCAAUUAACAAAAUUUGCUAAUUUGCACUGAGACCUGUCACCAACCCCCAAAACUUUGUGAGAAAAAGUUCAGGUGGAAUGUUCAUUCUGAUGAAUGCUAAAAAAAAAAGUGAAAAAUGAGAAAAAUAUUAAAAACCAGGUGAGAUUUUAGGGUGCUGUGAGUGCAGAAUUGUCUCUGGGGAUAAAGGUUUGGGGUGGAAAAAGGGACUGAGGAUUUUUUGGUGUGGAAGAGAUGAUUGGGGAGGUUCUGCUGCCUUGGGUUUGGUGUCUCUGAUCUGCCUGGGGAGGGUUUGGGAUGCCAAUUUAAAUUGUCCCAGCCCUAAAGAGCUGCAGAGGAUUUUGAGGAGCUCCAGGGACUCCUAAAUAUCUGAAUUUGGUGAUGCUGCUGUCAGGGAGGUGAAUUCAACUUUUGGGAAUCUGCUUUAUAACCCCAGAAAAAAAAAAAAAAAGGAAUUUUUAUUAUAUUUUUUUUUCCUUUUCUUCAGGAAAAUGAAUAUUCCAAUAUUGGAUUCCUGUGGGAUUUGAUGAUCCUUAGAGAUUCCCUCCCAUCCUGAGGGGUUCUCUGGGGUUUGGGAAAUUUUUUUUUGGGAGAAAACAGAGUUUUGUCAGCUCCUCCAGAGCAGAUCACCUUACCUGGAGCAUCCCCCAACCUCCCAAAAAUUGUGGGACAGGUGGGAAAGGAUGGAAAGUUCAGGAAAGAAGGUUUGAGGUGUGGGGUGUGAUUGUGACAUGGCUUUGAGACAUCACCCAAAAAAUCACCAAAAAAAACCCUAAAAACUUGCUCUGCUUUGGGAUAAAUUUGGAAUCAACACUGUGUGAAUUGUCACCUCCAUGUGGAAAAUCCCCCAGGAUUUUGUGGUUUGUGUCUGAACUCACCCGGGGCCAGGUGUAGAUGUAGCAUCCAACCCCUCCCUGUGUCCCAGCCUGGCAAUAUUGAAUUUCCCAGCUGGAAUUCUGCAUUAAAAACCAGGGGAUUAUUCUGGAAUAAAAACCCAGGAGAUUCCAGGCCUGCUCAGACAGCACAGCCUCCUGGUGGUGUUGGUUUUGGUAAGGAAAGGUCUAAAAAAAUUAAAAAUCCACUGCAGGUUCCAAUAAUCCUGAGCUGGGUUGGAACUGGGUGAUCUUAAAGUCUAAAAAAUUAAAAAUCCACUGAAGAUUCUUCUGAUGCUCCAAAAAUCCUGAGUUGAGUUGGAACUGGGUGAUCUUAAAGGUCUAAAAAAUUAAAAUUCCACUGAAAUUUCUCCUGAUGCACCAAUAAUCCUGAGCUGGAACUGAGUGAUCUUUAAGGUCUAAAAAAUUAAAAAUCCACUGAAUUUUCUCCUGAUCCUCCAAUAAUCCUGAGUGAUCUUUAAGGUCCCUUCCAACCCAAACCAUCCUGGGCUUCUCUGGCUCUUUUCCCUGGUGGGUGGAAUUUUUUUAAGGAUAUUUUUUUUUUUAAGGAAUUGCAGGAAGAGGAACUUCUUCAAACCAAAAAUGGGAAUUUGGUGAAUCCCUGCUCCCCCAGGAGCUGCAGCAGCUAUGAUGGUCUGGCCAUGGGGGUUGUGAUUUUUAAUUCCUUGUGACUCCUGAAUAUUUUUAAUUUCUGGAUUUCUUCACUCCAGCCAAGGCUCAGACACGGAGCUGCUGCAGGAGGGAGUGCUGGUAUCCAAAAUCUGACUGAAAAUCAGAAUCUUUAGACAAAAAAAAAAAGAUUUUCUUCAUUCUGAUUUCCAGAUGAAAAUAUCAGCAAUGAAUUUGUACAGAUCCUUUCCCAAAGUAACUUCCUCCCUCUUGUCUCCUUUUACUUUUAAUACUUUAUCCAAUAAUAUUUUAAUGAUUUAAUUUUAUUUUAACUAUAGGAAUUUCAGAGUUGCAAAGGCUCUUUCUUGGAGUAAAAAAAACAAAACCCUUGUUGAUACCAUAAAUACUCAUCUUGAUCUAGAUGGAUUUGUUAUUUUUGCACCAGAAUCCCUUUUUUUUUUUUUUUUUCAGUAUAAAGUGCACUUUUUCAUAAAAAAAAAAACUUGUAUUCCUGUCUGAUGAGUGUCUGAUGUGCUGAAAGGAAUAUUCUGCCAAACUCCAGAGCUGAGGGCGUUGUUAAUUCCUCGAGGUAUUCAUUGAAACUUCUGCUCCAUUUUAAACCAAGCAGGGAAGGAAAUCCCUCCCCACAAACAGGAAUUGAAGAUGGGAAACGAAACCAUCACUGCCCUUAGAGAAAAACUCAAAAACCUCCCAAAAUCCACCUUCAGAUUUUCCAUUGCACCAGCCUCGAAUCACAAAUGUUUACCUUGCUGAUCAGGGAGUGCCUUGUCCUGUGCUGGGGGUGGCUUUGCUGGAAAAAUUUGGAUUUGUGGGAAUCCCAAUUAUUAUCCACGGGUGCUCCUCAAAUUCUGAGUUUUUGCUGUCACACAGGGACCUGCCCAAACCACAAUUUUGCUGUUCCGUCCUCACUUCUGCUCGGGCUGCCCCGAUUCCGGAGGGAUUUGCUGGCUCCUCUGUUUGUCCAGACCCUUUUUUGUGUCCCCUUGUGUCUGUGUGGACAUCUCAGGUGUCACCUCGUGCUCGUCAGGACUCUCGGAGCCCCGAUCCCGACCCGUCCGUGCGUUCUUGCAGUGCCUUGUAAAUCCCAAGGGUCCCAAAGCCCCGCGGGGGCUGCGGGCUCGGGGAGCUCCCGGCUUGUACUGCCAGACUGGACUUUGUAACUGAGGAUUAAAACCCCUGGUUCAAAGGAAAUAAAGAGUUUAACUCUGA